Molecule: ribosomal RNA, 445 nt
Filed under: Dichotomius boreus
Lineage: Eukaryota; Metazoa; Arthropoda; Insecta; Coleoptera; Scarabaeidae
Description: partial 16S ribosomal RNA
Rfam family: Bacterial large subunit ribosomal RNA
Source: RNAcentral
CAUGUCUUUUUGAUUUUUAUAGAAAGUCUGACCUGCCCUAUGAGUUAUUAAAUGGCUGCGGUACUUUGACCGUGCAAAGGUAGCAUAAUAAUUAGUUUUUUAAUUGGGAACUGGUAUGAAUGGUUUGACGAGAAAAAGACUGUCUCAGUUUAAUUUAAAUUAGAAUUUUAUUUUUAAGUAAAAAAGCUUAAAUAUACUUAAAAGACGAGAAGACCCUAUAGAAUUUUAUAUUUUUUUAUAAUUUUGAAAGUUAAAGAAUCUAAGAUUUGAUUUUAUAAAAACAUAUUUGGUUGGGGCAACUAAAAAAUUGAAUAAACUUUUUUUAUAAUAAAAACAUUGAUAUAUGAGUAAGUGAUCCAUAAUUUAUGAUUAUUAGAUUAAAUUACCUUAGGGAUAACAGCGUAAUUCUUUUUUAGAGUCCGUAUCGAAAAAAGAGUUUGCGACC